Molecule: non-coding RNA, 73 nt
Organism: Acanthoscelides obtectus
Lineage: Eukaryota; Metazoa; Arthropoda; Insecta; Coleoptera; Chrysomelidae
Source: the annotation of a GenBank genome assembly
GGUGGUGUAGACUAAUUGGUUAGGCCAGCUUCAUGGACUGGAGGAGAUGCGGGUUCAAAUCCCGUCGUCGCCC